Molecule: ribosomal RNA, 345 nt
Filed under: Triticum aestivum (bread wheat)
Lineage: Eukaryota; Viridiplantae; Streptophyta; Magnoliopsida; Poales; Poaceae
Description: partial small subunit ribosomal RNA
Source: RNAcentral
AUGGUGAGGAGUGGAGGCGGCGGUUCUGAAUUUGAAGAUGGUGCUGUGAGGAGUAGCGGGAGGAGCAGUCGCCGACGGCCUGGCUGCAUGGGGUACGCCCUCCCCUUCAUCUCCUACGGCAUCGUGGACAUCCUGCUCGACGACGUACAUCUGCUCGAGGACAUCAUGCUCGAUGAUGCUCCUCUUCGCCAGCAUCUCUGGCGCGUGAUAGGAGGAGAGUUCUUGUACUCACAGCAGCUGUUGAUCUGCAACAACUCUAGGAGUGGGAUUGACAUUGUCAUUGUGGUUUCAGUAGAAAUGACCUUCUUUUCAGGUGUGAAACCAAUAAAUGAGACGACUAAGUAG